UUGGAGGGCAAGUCUGGUGCCAGCAGCCGCGGUAAUUCCAGCUCCAAUAGCGUAUAUUAAAGUUGUUGCAGUUAAAAAGCUCGUAGUUGAAUUUCGGGAUCAAUUUAUUGGUCGUGCCAACGGUACGCACUGGUACAAUUGGUUUCUCCCUUCUGACGAAGCAUGAUGUCAUUAAUUUGAUGUCGUGAGGAAUCAGGACUGUUACUUUGAAAAAAUUAGAGUGUUUAAAGCAGGCUUUGGCUUGAAUACAUUAGCAUGGAAUAAUGAAAUAGGACGUUUGAUCUUAUUUCGUUGGUUUCUAAGAUCGACGUAAUGAUUAAUAGGGAUAGUUGGGGGCAUUAGUAUUCAAUUGUCAGAGGUGAAAUUCUUGGAUUUAUUGAAGACUAACUACUGCGAAAGCAUUUGCCAAGGAUGUUUUCAUUAAUCAAGAACGAAAGUUAGGGGAUCGAAGACGAUCAGAUACCGUCGUAGUCUUAACCAUAAACUAUGCCGACUAGGGAUCGGACGAUGUUAAUUUUUUAAUGACUCAUUCGGCGCCUUACGGGAAAC
Molecule: ribosomal RNA, 549 nt
Filed under: uncultured Glomeromycotina
Lineage: Eukaryota; Fungi; Glomeromycota
Description: SSU rRNA
Rfam family: Eukaryotic small subunit ribosomal RNA
Source: RNAcentral